UACGAAGGGGGCUAGCGUUGCUCGGAAUCACUGGGCGUAAAGCGCACGUAGGCGGCUCUCUAAGUCAGGGGUGAAAUCCCGGGGCUCAACCCCGGAACUGCCUUCGAUACUGGCGAUCUCGAGUCCGGAAGAGGUGAGUGGAACUCCUAGUGUAGAGGUGGAAUUCGUAGAUAUUAGGAAGAACACCAGUGGCGAAGGUGGCUCACUGGUCCGGUACUGACGCUGAGGUGCGAAAGCGUGGGGAGCAAACAGG
Molecule: ribosomal RNA, 253 nt
Filed under: uncultured bacterium
Lineage: Bacteria
Description: partial 16S ribosomal RNA
Rfam family: Bacterial small subunit ribosomal RNA
Source: RNAcentral